Molecule: ribosomal RNA, 497 nt
Filed under: uncultured bacterium
Lineage: Bacteria
Description: partial 16S ribosomal RNA
Rfam family: Bacterial small subunit ribosomal RNA
Source: RNAcentral
GAUGAACGCUGGCGGCGUGCCUAAUACAUGCAAGUCGAGCGAACGGACGAGGAGCUUGCUCUUCUGACGUUAGCGGCGGACGGGUGAGUAACACGUGGAUAACCUACCUAUAAGACUGGGAUAACUUCGGGAAACCGGAGCUAAUACCGGAUAAUAUAUUGAACCGCAUGGUUCAAUAGUGAAAGACGGUUUUGCUGUCACUUAUAGAUGGAUCCGCGCCGCAUUAGCUAGUUGGUAAGGUAACGGCUUACCAAGGCAACGAUGCGUAGCCGACCUGAGAGGGUGAUCGGCCACACUGGAACUGAGACACGGUCCAGACUCCUACGGGAGGCAGCAGUAGGGAAUCUUCCGCAAUGGGCGAAAGCCUGACGGAGCAACGCCGCGUGAGUGAUGAAGGUCUUCGGAUCGUAAAACUCUGUUAUUAGGGAAGAACAAAUGUGUAAGUAACUAUGCACGUCUUGACGGUACCUAAUCAGAAAGCCACGGCUAACUACGUG